GUGCCAGCAGCCGCGGUAAUACCGGCAGCCCGAGUGAUGGCCGAUCUUAUUGGGCCUAAAGCGUCCGUAGCUGGCUGCGCAAGUCCGUCGGGAAAUCCACCCGCUUAACGGGUGGGCGUCCAGCGGAAACUGUUCGGCUUGGAGCCGGAAGACCCGAGGGGUACGUCCGGGGUAGGAGUGAAAUCCCGUAAUCCUGGACGGACCGCCGGUGGCGAAAGCGCCUCGGGAGGACGGACUCGACAGUGAGGGACGAAAGCUAGGGUCUCGAACCGGAUUAGAAACCCCAGUAGUCC
RNAcentral lists this ribosomal RNA (293 nucleotides) under uncultured bacterium. Its description in RNAcentral is "partial 16S ribosomal RNA". It matches the Rfam family "Archaeal small subunit ribosomal RNA", at positions 455 to 747 of the family's 1478-position model. The record is from RNAcentral.